This 1041-nucleotide long non-coding RNA is filed under the name Anas platyrhynchos platyrhynchos (common mallard). RNAcentral describes it as "lncRNA (ENSAPLG00000029574.1)". The record is from RNAcentral. Lineage: Eukaryota; Metazoa; Chordata; Aves; Anseriformes; Anatidae.
AUGGUAGUGCAACGUGUGCUAACACACAUGGGUAACAGCCGUGUACAUCCAUGUGCAUCCACAUACAUCCCUAUAUAUCCAUAUACAUCCACAUACAUCCACAUACAUGCAUAUACAUCCAUAAAUAUCCAUAUACAUCCACAUACGUGCAUAUAUGUCCAUAUAUAUCCACAUACAUCCAUAUACAUGCACAUACAUCCACAUACGUCCACAUACAUGCAUAUAUGUCCAUAUAUACCCAUACACACCCAUAUACACCCACAUACACCCACAUAUUCCCACACACACCCACAUGCACACACACCAAGCCUGUGUGCAGCCAGAGCAGAGCCCCCGGGGCACCCAGCCCGGCCCAUCCCGGCCGAUCCCGCCCCAUCCCCGCGCGGUACCGGCGCUGCCCCCCCCCGCAUCCCCCCGGAUCCCCUCCCCGGUGCCGCCGCGCCCCUUACCCUGGCAGCCCCCCGGGAUCCCCACCAUGGCCCGGCCGGGCCCGGCCCCUCGCCGCCUCCUCCCGCUGCCUCCGCGGCCCUGCCCGGCCCUUCCCCGCCCGCCUCUCGCCGUGACGCGCCCGGGGGCGCGGCCUGCCCCGGCCCGGCCGCCGGGGAAGGGCCCCGCUGCUGGCGGUGGCGGGGCCGGGCCGGGGGCGCUGCCGCGGGGGCUCCCCGUGGGGCCGCGGGGAAGGCGCGGAGCGGAGCGCGGCCAGAGCCGGGAGCCGCUGUGAGGGGAAGGGGAGAGCCCGCCCACAGCCUGCCUCCGGGGGGCGGCACGGCGGGGCCCCGGUGUGUCCCCUCCCGGUGUGUGCCCCUGGUGUGCCCCCCCAUGUGUGCCCACGGUGUGUGCCCCCUCACCGUGAGGUUCGGUGUCACGUCGCUGGUGAGGGAGUUUUGUGUGCCAGCAACUCUGCCACGGGCCCGGCCCAUCUCCCAGCGCCUCUGUCUGCAAACUCCCCACAGAGUCCAUGCACAGAAAAGCUCCUUUAGGCAAACUCACGAGAUGAAGCCAAGUCAAAGACCUGAAAAUGGGGCGUUUAAACUCUGGUAG